Molecule: ribosomal RNA, 351 nt
Filed under: uncultured bacterium
Lineage: Bacteria
Description: bacterial SSU rRNA
Rfam family: Bacterial small subunit ribosomal RNA
Source: RNAcentral
GGGCCCGCACAAGCGGUGGAGUAUGUGGUUUAAUUCGAUGCAACGCGAAGAACCUUACCAGGGUUUGACAUCCUGCGAAUCUUUUGGAAACGAGAGAGUGCCUUCGGGAACGCAGUGACAGGUGGUGCAUGGCUGUCGUCAGCUCGUGUCGUGAGAUGUUGGGUUAAGUCCCGCAACGAGCGCAACCCACGUCUUUAGUUGCCAGCAUUUAGUUGGGCACUCUAGAGAGACUGCCGGUGAUAAACCGGAGGAAGGUGUGGAUGACGUCAAGUCAUCAUGCCCCUUACAUCCUGGGCUACACACGUGCUACAAUGGUAGGUACAGAGGGAAGCCACCCCGCGAGGGGGAGCG